Molecule: ribosomal RNA, 781 nt
Filed under: Eugonatonotus chacei
Lineage: Eukaryota; Metazoa; Arthropoda; Malacostraca; Decapoda; Eugonatonotidae
Also listed under: 1 other name
Description: eukaryotic LSU rRNA
Rfam family: Eukaryotic large subunit ribosomal RNA
Source: RNAcentral
AUUAAUAAGCGGAGGAAAAGAAACCAACCGGGAUUCCCUGAGUAAGGGCGACUGAAACGGGACCAGCCCAGCGCAUAACCUCGCGGUCCGUAGCUGGCCGACGAGGGGUGUUGCGUUUCGGUGGAUCCGUCCCGCUCGAGCCGUUUACCGCCUAAGUCAUUGCUUGAAAGCAGCCCCAAGGAGGGUGAUAGGCCCGUGUGGCGGCGCCUGUAAAAAGGGAGAAGGCGGCUCGGGCGGAGGGGUCUUCACCGUAGAGUCGGGUUGCUUAGUACUGCAGCCCUAAGCAGGUGGUAAACUCCAUCUAAGGCUAAAUACUACCACGAGUCCGAUAGAGAACAAGUACCGUGAGGGAAAGUUGAAAAGGACUUUGAAGAGAGAGUUCAAAAGGACGUGAAACCGUUAGAAGCUUAAACGGGUGGAACCGCGAAGGUCGAACGAGGGGAUUCAGCUCGCGGGCCUGUGGCGGGCGGGUGGCGGCACAUAAGAAUUACCGUGAGAGGACCCAGCGUGAUAAAUGUCGUGCUUUAGCUGUGGCCCCGCCCCCGCCCCCGGCAGCCGUCCGCGGGCUUACUUCUCCCUCUAGUAGGUCGCCGCGACCCGUUGUGGGGACCCCCGAGGCCGUGCCGGAUUGGUAGCCCGCAGCCCUUAACCCGGCUGCGGGUGACGACCGGUCCGCGGUUCUGACAGGGCCCCUGCGACGGUCACUGCCAGGAGGCAGGAGGGCAGUUCGCUGCCUCUCUGCCUCUCGCGGCGUGCAAGGGAUCGGUAAUCCACCCGACCC